AAUGAACGCUGGCGGCAGGCCUAACACAUGCAAGUCGAACGAAGCCUUCGGGCUUAGUGGCGGACGGGUGAGUAACGCGUGGGAACGUGCCCUUUGGUUCGGAAUAGCCCCGGGAAACUGGGAGUAAUACCGGAUGAGCCCUACGGGGGAAAGAUUUAUCGCCAAAGGAUCGGCCCGCGUUGGAUUAGGUAGUUGGUGGGGUAAUGGCCUACCAAGCCGACGAUCCAUAGCUGGUUUGAGAGGAUGAUCA
This 250-nucleotide ribosomal RNA is filed under the name uncultured bacterium. RNAcentral's name for it is "partial 16S ribosomal RNA". It matches the Rfam family "Bacterial small subunit ribosomal RNA", at positions 29 to 306 of the family's 1533-position model. The record is from RNAcentral.